UGGGGAAUAUUGCACAAUGGGGGAAACCCUGAUGCAGCGACGCCGCGUGAGCGAAGAAGGUUUUCGAAUCGUAAAGCUCUGUCCUAUGAGAAGAUAAUGACGGUAUCAUAGGAGGAAGCCCCGGCUAAAUACGUGCCAGCAGCCGCGGUAAUACGUAUGGGGCGAGCGUUGUCCGGAAUUAUUGGGCGUAAAGGGUACGUAGGCGGUCUAUUAAGUCAGGUGUGAAAGCGUGAGGCUUAACCUCAUUAAACACUUGAAACUGAUAGACUUGAGUGAAGGAGAGGAAAGUGGAAUUCCUAGUGUAGCGGUGAAAUGCGUAGAUAUUAGGAGGAAUACCGGUGGCGAAGGCGACUUUCUGGACUUUUACUGACGCUCAGGUACGAAAGCGUGGGGAGCAAACAGG
RNAcentral lists this ribosomal RNA (403 nucleotides) under Verrucomicrobiota bacterium. RNAcentral's name for it is "Verrucomicrobia bacterium partial 16S ribosomal RNA". It matches the Rfam family "Bacterial small subunit ribosomal RNA", at positions 355 to 776 of the family's 1533-position model. The record is from RNAcentral. Lineage: Bacteria; Pseudomonadati; Verrucomicrobiota.